CAGUCGCCGCGGUAAUACGUAGGUGGCAAGCGUUGUCCGGAAUUAUUGGGCGUAAAGGGCUCGCAGGCGGUUUCUUAAGUCUGAUGUGAAAGCCCACGGCUCAACCGGGGAGGGUCAUUGGAAACUGGGAAACUUGAGUGCAGAAGAGGAGAGUGGAAUUCCACGUGUAGCGGUGAAAUGCGUAGAGAUGUGGAGGAACACCAGUGGCGAAGGCGACUCUCUGGUCUGUAACUGACGCUGAGGAGCGAAAGCGUGGGGAGCGAACAGGAUUAGAUACCCCCGUAGUCCCUGUCUCUUAUAC
This 301-nucleotide ribosomal RNA is filed under the name uncultured bacterium. Its description in RNAcentral is "partial 16S ribosomal RNA". It matches the Rfam family "Bacterial small subunit ribosomal RNA", at positions 509 to 807 of the family's 1533-position model. The record is from RNAcentral.